RNAcentral lists this long non-coding RNA (445 nucleotides) under Pan troglodytes (chimpanzee). Its description in RNAcentral is "long non-coding RNA NONPTRT006821". The record is from RNAcentral. Lineage: Eukaryota; Metazoa; Chordata; Mammalia; Primates; Hominidae.
CUGGGAGAGUGGCACCCCUGGAGAGGGUGUGGAAGCUCCGUUGCCUCCACCAUCUUUUCCGCCUGCUGUUCCUGAGUUGUAUCCUUUUAUUAUAAAUCUGCAACCUAGUAGUAAACUGUUUUCCUGAGCUCCGUGAACCGCUCUAGCAAAUCACCAAAUCUGAACAGGGGCUCAGGGGAACCUCUGAUUUAUAACUAGUGGUUCAGAACCACAGGUGGCAACCUGGACUUGUGACUGGCGUCUGAAGGCAGUGGGUAUAGUGUUGUGGGACUGCCUGAGCCCUUAACCUGUGGAAUCUGAUGCUAACCUCAGAAUUCCAUGGAGUCUAAUUUCUGCUGGGAUAUUUCCUCCAGGCUGACAUUGGUUUCAGAAGGACGUAUAGUUGAACCAGUUCUUGAUAAGCCUGAAUCUUUAUGUGCUGCAUGUCUGUAAGCUGCCCUCUCAA